RNAcentral lists this long non-coding RNA (1298 nucleotides) under Mus musculus (house mouse). RNAcentral's name for it is "lincRNA-EC123". The record is from RNAcentral. Lineage: Eukaryota; Metazoa; Chordata; Mammalia; Rodentia; Muridae.
CUGAAGUUCCGCUGUGGGAGCCUCGGGUAGGGACGGAGAGAGGACACGACCUACCGGUUUUCUCCGGCAGAGUCGGUUCCUGGCCUCACCCCGGCCCCUUCUGGGCGGCUGCUGCUGACUGCUCUCCUUUCCCUCCCCCAGAAGCUGGGUUCCGAGUUAGAAACCGCAUUCCGAACCCACUGAAUCGAGACUCUCCGAGAAGGAAUGGAUAACAAGGGAACAGCUACGGAAUCAGAAAGCAAGCUCAACUCUUAACAUGUUCUUGUGCUGGUUUGGCUUUUGUUCUGUUGUUGUUGUUGUUGUUGUUGUUGUUGGCUAUUGUUCUGUUGUUGUUGUUGUUGUUGUUGUUGUUGUUUUUCCCCUAAGGACCAAGCACGGUGUUUUUGAAUGGACGUUUCUGGAUUUUGAUAGAUCUGAGAGGCUGCCCGGGUAAGGGGCGGUGGAAUGAGCCAUGUCCUAAAUCCUCCCUAGCACCUGCCCUAAACUAAAGCAGCCUUGCAGUUAGUCCCAAGGUGGGGUUUGGGGGUGAGGGCGACAAUAGGAUUACCCUCCUAAAUUAAACCUUUAAAUCCUACCUAGUUCCUUCACUAAUCUGCUAAACUCAGACUCCACCCUUCCUUCGAAGGACUACAAAUGUAAGGAAUCCCCUUGGUUUUGUGACUUGCUCUUGGAUUCCCCACCAUAUUCCAGCCCCCACCCCAAAGCCCACCAGUGUUAUUAAAGGAUCUGGUCUCCUGAAAUACGUCCCAGCAGCCGUCUAUAGCGAACCAGUAGGGUGAGGAAACCGAGGCUGAACAAAGGUUAUUGUUGAGAAAUCACACAGGCAGUGAAUGGUAGAAUGGACUGAGACUGGAGCCCCAGUGUUGACUCAGCCAUUGACACGCAAGCCUGCUUAUACUGUCUCACUUUUACAAAUCAUGAAUAAAAAUAAGAAAUGAAUAUUUCAGGCAGGCACUGGAAUUCACAACUUAGAAGACAAACGUCUUCUCUUAUGAUGAUCCACAUAAUAAAAAAGACUCAAGAAGAAGAUCCACUGUCACUCUUACUGGCAAGCCCCAUGCCCAGGAGGAGACCAGGAGCGCAAGACCAGCUCGAUGACAUUUUCGUUUUGUCCCAUUCCAAUUCGUGUCCAUUGACUCAUUUCACUACUAUUUCUUAGAUGCUUGUUUUCUAUGAGAGAAGGGUGUGAUUAGGGUGGGAGGGGAGAGGGGAAGAGAUGGGGGAGGAGAAACUGUCAUCAGAAUGUACUGUAUCGAAAAGAAAACCAACAACCUAUUUUCAAUAAAAAUAAAAGGGGG